CAGUCGCCGCGGGAAUACGAAGGGGGCUAGCGUUGCUCGGAAUUACUGGGCGUAAAGGGAGCGUAGGCGGAUCGUUAAGUUGGGGGUGAAAGCCCGGGGCUCAACCUCGGAACUGCCUUCAAUACUGGCGAUCUUGAGUAUGAGAGAGGUGUGUGGAACUCCGAGUGUAGAGGUGAAAUUCGUAGAUAUUCGGAAGAACACCAGUGGCGAAGGCGACACACUGGCUCAUUACUGACGCUGAGGCUCGAAAGCGUGGGGAGCAAACAGGAUUAGAUACCCGAGUAGUCCCUGUCUCUUAUAC
This 301-nucleotide ribosomal RNA is filed under the name uncultured bacterium. RNAcentral describes it as "partial 16S ribosomal RNA". It matches the Rfam family "Bacterial small subunit ribosomal RNA", at positions 509 to 807 of the family's 1533-position model. The record is from RNAcentral.